This 705-nucleotide ribosomal RNA is filed under the name Ruegeria atlantica. RNAcentral's name for it is "bacterial SSU rRNA". It matches the Rfam family "Bacterial small subunit ribosomal RNA", at positions 53 to 806 of the family's 1533-position model. The record is from RNAcentral. Lineage: Bacteria; Pseudomonadati; Pseudomonadota; Alphaproteobacteria; Rhodobacterales; Roseobacteraceae.
ACAUGCAAGUCGAGCGCACCUUCGGGUGAGCGGCGGACGGGUUAGUAACGCGUGGGAACAUACCCUUUGGUACGGAAUAGCCUCUGGAAACGGAGAGUAAUACCGUAUGAGCCCUUCGGGGGAAAGAUUUAUCGCCAAAGGAUUGGCCCGCGUUAGAUUAGGUAGUUGGUGGGGUAAUGGCCUACCAAGCCUACGAUCUAUAGCUGGUUUUAGAGGAUGAUCAGCAACACUGGGACUGAGACACGGCCCAGACUCCUACGGGAGGCAGCAGUGGGGAAUCUUGGACAAUGGGGGCAACCCUGAUCCAGCCAUGCCGCGUGAGUGAUGAAGGCCUUAGGGUCGUAAAGCUCUUUCGCCUGUGAAGAUAAUGACGGUAGCAGGUAAAGAAACCCCGGCUAACUCCGUGCCAGCAGCCGCGGUAAUACGGAGGGGGUUAGCGUUGUUCGGAAUUACUGGGCGUAAAGCGCACGUAGGCGGACUGGAAAGUUGGNGGUGAAAUCCCAGGGCUCAACCCUGGAACUGCCUCCAAAACUAUCAGUCUAGAGUUCGAGAGAGGUGAGUGGAAUNCCGAGUGUAGAGGUGAAAUUCGUAGAUAUUCGGAGGAACACCAGUGGCGAAGGCGGCUCACUGGCUCGAUACUGACGCUGAGGUGCGAAAGUGUGGGGAGCAAACAGGAUUAGAUACCCUGGUAGUCCACACCGUAAA